This 505-nucleotide ribosomal RNA is filed under the name uncultured bacterium. Its description in RNAcentral is "partial 16S ribosomal RNA". It matches the Rfam family "Bacterial small subunit ribosomal RNA", at positions 28 to 507 of the family's 1533-position model. The record is from RNAcentral.
GACGAACGCUGGCGGCGUGCCUAAUACAUGCAAGUAGAACGCACAGUUUAUACCGUAGCUUGCUACACAAUAGACUGUGAGUUGCGAACGGGUGAGUAACGCGUAGGUAACCUGCCUGGUAGCGGGGGAUAACUAUUGGAAACGAUAGCUAAUACCGCAUAAUAUUAAUUAUUGCAUGAUAAUUAAUUGAAAGGUGCAAUUGCACCACUACCAGAUGGACCUGCGUUGUAUUAGCUAGUAGGUGAGGUAACGGCUCACCUAGGCGACGAUACAUAGCCGACCUGAGAGGGUGAUCGGCCACACUGGGACUGAGACACGGCCCAGACUCCUACGGGAGGCAGCAGUAGGGAAUCUUCGGCAAUGGACGAAAGUCUGACCGAGCAACGCCGCGUGAGUGAAGAAGGUUUUCGGAUCGUAAAGCUCUGUUGUAAGAGAAGAACGGGUGUGAGAGUGGAAAGUUCACACUGUGACGGUAUCUUACCAGAAAGAGACGGCUAACUACGUG